ACAACAGGGAUUGCCUCAGUAACGGCGAGUGAAGCGGCAAGAGCUCAACUUUGGAAUCGCUCCGGCGAGUUGUAGUCUGGAGGUGGCCACCACGAGGUGUUCUAGCAGCAGGCAAGUCCUUUGGAACAAGGCGCCAGCGAGGGUGACAGCCCCGUACCUGCUUUUGCUAGUGCUUCCUGUGGCCCACCGACGAGUCGAGUUGUUUGGGAAUGCAGCUCUAAGUGGGUGGUAAAUUCCAUCUAAGGCUAAAUAUUGGCGAGAGACCGAUAGCGAACAAGUACAGUGAUGGAAAGAUGAAAAGCACUUUGAAAAGAGAGUGAAACAGUACGUGAAAUUGUUGAAAGGGAAGGGCUUGCACCCAGACACGGUUUCGGCCGGGCCAGCAUCAAGUAGAACGGGGUUAAAAGACCUGGGGAAUGUAGCUACCUCUUGGUAGUGUUAUAGCCCUUGGGUGAUGACCCCUGUUUUGCUUGAGGACAGCGGUCUCUAGGAUGCUGGCGCAAUGGUUGCAAGCCACCCGUCUUGAA
Molecule: ribosomal RNA, 527 nt
Filed under: Candidozyma auris
Lineage: Eukaryota; Fungi; Ascomycota; Pichiomycetes; Serinales; Metschnikowiaceae
Description: eukaryotic LSU rRNA
Rfam family: Eukaryotic large subunit ribosomal RNA
Source: RNAcentral